AACGAACGCUGGCGCAGGCUUAACACAUGCAAGUCGAACGAGUGUAGCAAUACACUAGUGGCGCACGGGUGAGUAACACGUGGAUAUCUGCCUUUUGGUUCGGGAUAACCCUGGGAAACUAGGGCUAAUACCGAAUGGUUCCUACGGGAUAAAGAUUUAUCGCCAAAAGAUGAGUCCGCGUCCGAUUAGCUAGUUGGUGAGGUAAUGGCUCACCAAGGCGACGAUCGGUAGCUGGUCUGAGAGGACGAUCAGCCACACUGGGACUGAGACACGGCCCAGACUCCUACGGGAGGCAGCAGUGGGGAAUAUUGGACAAUGGGGGCAACCCUGAUCCAGCCAUGCCGCGUGAGUGAUSAAGGCCUUCGGGUUGUAMAGCUCUCUUGGCGGGGGCGAUGAUGACGGU
This 403-nucleotide ribosomal RNA is filed under the name bacterium Ellin6036. RNAcentral's name for it is "bacterial SSU rRNA". It matches the Rfam family "Bacterial small subunit ribosomal RNA", at positions 29 to 458 of the family's 1533-position model. The record is from RNAcentral. Lineage: Bacteria; Pseudomonadati; Pseudomonadota; Alphaproteobacteria.